ACAGGAAGAGUCAGAUUGCAGGUGAACUCUGGGUUUCUGCUGUCCCUGGAGGACUGGCCCACAGUACCUCAGAGGAUUGUGUGUGGCUUCAACACGAGCAAAACACAUCUGCUUCUCCCUCUGGCUGUGCUCUGGAAUUUCUGCCUAGUCCAUGGAAAAGCAGGGUGGCUAUUCCCACUACUCACAAAAGGUCUUUCUCAUGCCUUUUUAAAAUCAGGACGCUGGGAUGAUCUCCAGGACACAUCUAUGAUCUCAGUGGUCGGCCCUGCAGCACAUGGCCUACUCAGCUUGUUCCACGCUGUGCAUUCACACAGCGAGUGAAUGCUCUCUGGGCGCCUGUGGAACUUCUCCCCUACCUUGAGCCCUGAGGAUCUGCAUAAGAAGUGUUCUCAUCUUCCUGUGAGGACACUCAGUCAAGGCUGAGCUUAAGACUCAGAUGGAGCCACUGUCAAAAUGAAGAGUUCUUAGUCAACAAGAGCCUGAGACCUGGCACUUGGGAUUUUGAAUAUUGCUGCUCAGAGCUUGGUCCAGCUACAAGGCUUAAAGUACAUGGUGACGAGAACAGGUAGGGGAUCCUCACGUGGAGGAGCCUCUGACAGAGGCUCACAAUCACACAGUCCAGUUUCUCUGACAGGAAUUUGAAGAAAACUGACACACAAGACUUGUGGUUGGCCCUUGGUUCCAGCAGCUGAGACUGAUCAAAGACCCCAGUGUUUGCCGUUGACCCUGGCCCUCGCCCUCUUGGAUUUGCUAAGAGAUACAAUCAGGUGUGUAAAACCCUCCUGCGAGGCCAGUGGGUUGGUUGUGAUUUGCAUAAAAUUCCACCAGCUAAGAUCCAAGAGCUGCCUUAUUUAAAUUGUCUUCAGUUUGAAGUUCUAGAAGCAUCUUUCUACCUUUUCAGCCAUUUCCUCUCUUUCCAGCCAUUCCAGCCUGCUCAUCCUGUGACCAGUUAGGAGCCAGUGACCCCAUUCAGUGAACCAAUUGCUUGUUGAUGAAUUUGAAACAAAUCAAUAUUUUGUAAUAUUAAGAAUGCUGACCCAAGCACUAUGCUAAGAAUUUUAUAAACAUGGUUUUAAUUAAUCCUUAGACUAAUUAACUUGAUAGAAAUGUUAGUAUCUGCAUUUUAUAGAAGAGGAAAAAAAAAAAGAUGCUUGAAGAAGCUAGUGACCUUGCCUACAAUCAUACAUCAGCAGGGAGAGGUGAAAUCUACACAUCGUACCUACUUGCUCUAGAAUUUGUGCUGUGACCCAAUGAACCAGGUUAGUGACUCCCAAACCCUAGGUGCAGCCUAGCAGCAGUAUUUGCCUUUUGGCUUCAACUGCAAUUCUGUAAAUUUUCCCCUCAAGCCCUGUCAGUGCCAGAGCCUCCUAGAUGACUGUAGAUAAAUCUAUUCUACACUCAGUAACUCAGCCACUCUGAGAGUUCAGCCAUGACUAAACAAGGUCCGCCUUCUAGAACUACAGGAAACAAAAAGGCCCUUCUCUGAUCCAUGUGUUGGCAAAUAAAAUACAUUUUCCUUAUUGAAUUUGCACGUGAACAAGGAAUACACUUUUAUAAGUAUGUCACAUGUAAAAUUCAGGCUAUUCUUGUCUUUAAAAAGUAGUCACUGUUUAUCUAAAAAGC
Mus caroli (Ryukyu mouse) is the source of this 1623-nucleotide non-coding RNA. The record is from RefSeq and is a predicted model, not a curated record. NCBI's taxonomy places the organism in Eukaryota, Metazoa, Chordata, Mammalia, Rodentia, Muridae.